GAUGAACGCUGGCGGCGUGCCUAAUACAUGCAAGUCGAGCGAACAGACGAGGAGCUUGCUCCUCUGACGUUAGCGGCGGACGGGUGAGUAACACGUGGAUAACCUACCUAUAAGACUGGGAUAACUUCGGGAAACCGGAGCUAAUACCGGAUAAUAUAUUGAACCGCAUGGUUCAAUAGUGAAAGACGGUUUUGCUGUCACUUAUAGAUGGAUCCGCGCCGCAUUAGCUAGUUGGUAAGGUAACGGCUUACCAAGGCGACGAUGCGUAGCCGACCUGAGAGGGUGAUCGGCCACACUGGAACUGAGACACGGUCCAGACUCCUACGGGAGGCAGCAGUAGGGAAUCUUCCGCAAUGGGCGAAAGCCUGACGGAGCAACGCCGCGUGAGUGAUGAAGGUCUUCGGAUCGUAAAAUUCUGUUAUUAGGGAAGAACAAAUGUGUAAGUAACUAUGCACGUCUUGACGGUACCUAAUCAGAAAGCCACGGCUAACUACGUG
This 497-nucleotide ribosomal RNA is filed under the name uncultured bacterium. RNAcentral's name for it is "partial 16S ribosomal RNA". It matches the Rfam family "Bacterial small subunit ribosomal RNA", at positions 28 to 507 of the family's 1533-position model. The record is from RNAcentral.